UACGGAGGGGACUAGCGUUGUUCGGAAUUACUGGGCGUAAAGCGCGCGAGGCGGGCUGGUCAGUUGGGGGUGAAAUCCCGAGGCUUAACCUCGGAACUGCCUUCAAUACUGCCAGUCUUGAGUUCGGAAGAGGUGAGUGGAAUUCCUAGGUGUAGAGGUGAAAUUCAUAGGAUAAUUUAGGAAGAACACCAGUGGCGAAAGGCGGCUCACUGGUCCGAUACUGACGCUGAGGUGCGAAGCGUGGGGAGCGAACAGGAUUAGAUACCCUGUAGUCC
RNAcentral lists this ribosomal RNA (275 nucleotides) under uncultured bacterium. RNAcentral describes it as "partial 16S ribosomal RNA". It matches the Rfam family "Bacterial small subunit ribosomal RNA", at positions 524 to 796 of the family's 1533-position model. The record is from RNAcentral.